This 63-nucleotide transfer RNA is filed under the name Heterocephalus glaber (naked mole-rat). It matches the Rfam family "tRNA". From Rfam's summary of the family: Transfer RNA (tRNA) molecules are approximately 80 nucleotides in length. Their secondary structure includes four short double-helical elements and three loops (D, anti-codon, and T loops). The record is from Rfam by way of RNAcentral. Lineage: Eukaryota; Metazoa; Chordata; Mammalia; Rodentia; Bathyergidae.
AGGAAUGUAGCUCAGUGGUAGAGCACUUGCCUAGAAUGCAGAAGGUUGUGAAUUCCAUCUCUA